RNAcentral lists this long non-coding RNA (1118 nucleotides) under Homo sapiens (human). RNAcentral describes it as "STAT1 regulated ILF2 complex interacting lncRNA". The record is from RNAcentral. Lineage: Eukaryota; Metazoa; Chordata; Mammalia; Primates; Hominidae.
GAGAAGGUGCUUGAGCUAUUAGCUGGUUCAUCCAGCUCACUCACUCUGAGGGGGCCAGGAAGCAAUGAUUUCCAUUUGUAAGAGAGGAUCAUGGAAUGAAUACGGGCAUUGAGUCAAGCAGUCUGUGUUCCACUGGCGGUGUGACCUGGGGCAGGCCAUUUCACCUCACUGAGCCUUAGUUUCCUCACCUGUAAAAUGUGAAAAAUAUCACCUUCCUUACCAGGCUUUUCUGAGGAUUUAAUGACAUCAUGUUCAGUGCCCAGUAUGGGUGGAUAAUACCCAGGAGUUUCCUCCUCUUCUCCUCCUAAGUUGACUUGAUGCCCCCCGCUGAAGAUCAUGGCUGAACUGGCUCAAUUCGGAUCCAGGACUCCUGGCUUUGUCUCUUCCCUAGUUGCCCACCACACCCAUGGACACCCUUAGGUAGUUUAUCCUUUUGGGACAACUGGAUUUAUUAGAAAAGGGUAUUCUGGGGUGGAAUAAGGCCCUUUUCAGUCCCCAUGGAGCCUUUUUGGAAGAUGAAGUUCUCAAACCCACAAGAGAAUUCAUAAGACGAGCACACCACCCACAGUUAGGUUUCCCUCUCAAGUGCUUUAUCUCCACGUGGGGCAAAUAGCUCUUUGUCUGCAUAUGUUAUUGGAGCUUUUGGAGUCCAGCCUUCAGAAGAGCUCUAAUUUUUGGAUUCAUAUCAGUUUAUUAGAGAAGCCUAGUUCUAAGGAUUAGCAAAUGGGUAGGUGCUCAGCCAGCCCAGAACAAGCAGAGCCAUGACAGAAGUUUCUGGAAUCUCACAGAGUCGGUGUCUUCAUGGACUCAGGGGGCCUAAAUCCAAUAGCCUGGAUUUGUCACUUUCCCUUAUUCCCUUAUCAAACUCUUCCCUUUUGGACAUCAGAGAAGGAAAGUACUUCCUGUAAGGGGGCAAUUUGCAAAGCUUCAUGGAAGUGGCAUUUGAGUGUGGCCUUAAAGGAUGUGUAGGAUUGGGAACCAUAGAUAUUUAGAGGAAGGCAUUCCUGGCAGAAGGAACAGCAGCAAAACACAGAAGUGGAAAUUAGUAGCAGCAUUAAUGGAGAAUAAUUUGGGGAAUAAGAUAUACAAAUGGAAUAAUAAAAAUAGCAUUAAUUAAA